UGGGGAAUAUUGCACAAUGGGGGAAACCCUGAUGCAGCAACGCCGCGUGAGUGAUGACGGCCUUCGGGUUGUAAAGCUCUGUCUUCAGGGACGAUAAUGACGGUACCUGAGGGGGAAGCCACGGCUAACUACGUGCCAGCAGCCGCGGUAAUACGUAGGUGGCAAGCGUUGUCCGGAUUUACUGGGCGUAAAGGGAGCGUAGGCGGACUUUUAAGUGAGAUGUGAAAUACCCGGGCUCAACCUGGGUGCUGCAUUUCAAACUGGAAGUCUAGAGUGCAGGAGAGGAGAGUGGAAUUCCUAGUGUAGCGGUGAAAUGCGUAGAGAUUAGGAAGAACACCAGUGGCGAAGGCGACUCUCUGGACUGUAACUGACGCUGAGGCUCGAAAGCGUGGGGAGCAAACA
Molecule: ribosomal RNA, 402 nt
Filed under: uncultured bacterium
Lineage: Bacteria
Description: bacterial SSU rRNA
Rfam family: Bacterial small subunit ribosomal RNA
Source: RNAcentral